RNAcentral lists this ribosomal RNA (253 nucleotides) under uncultured bacterium. Its description in RNAcentral is "partial 16S ribosomal RNA". It matches the Rfam family "Bacterial small subunit ribosomal RNA", at positions 524 to 776 of the family's 1533-position model. The record is from RNAcentral.
UACGGAGGGUGCAAGCGUUAUCCGGAUUCACUGGGUUUAAAGGGUGCGUAGGAGGGCAGGUAAGUCAGUGGUGAAAUCUCCAAGCUUAACUUGGAAACUGCCGUUGAUACUAUCAGUCUUGAAUACCGUGGAGGUGAGCGGAAUAUGUCAUGUAGCGGUGAAAUGCUUAGAUAUGACAUAGAACACCAAUUGCGAAGGCAGCUCGCUACACGAAUAUUGACUCUGAGGCACGAAAGCGUGGGGAUCAAACAGG